RNAcentral lists this ribosomal RNA (253 nucleotides) under uncultured bacterium. Its description in RNAcentral is "partial 16S ribosomal RNA". It matches the Rfam family "Bacterial small subunit ribosomal RNA", at positions 524 to 776 of the family's 1533-position model. The record is from RNAcentral.
UACGUAGGGUGCAGGCGUUAAUCGGAAUUACUGGGCGUAAAGCGUGCGCAGGCGGUUUGCUAAGACAGGUGUGAAAUCCCCGGGCUCAACCUGGGAACUGCGUUUGUGACUGCAAGACUCGAGUGCGGCAGAGGGGGGUGGAAUUCCACGUGUAGCAGUGAAAUGCGUAGAGAUGUGGAGGAACACCGAUGGCGAAGGCAGCCCCCUGGGUCGACACUGACGCUCAUGCACGAAAGCGUGGGGAGCAAACAGG